GCGAGUAUAAUUCAAUGGUAGAAUGAGAGCUUCCCAAGCUUUAAAUGCGGGUUCGAUUACCGUUACUCGCUCCA
RNAcentral lists this transfer RNA (74 nucleotides) under Alphaproteobacteria bacterium. Its description in RNAcentral is "tRNA-Gly". It matches the Rfam family "tRNA". Rfam says of the family: Transfer RNA (tRNA) molecules are approximately 80 nucleotides in length. The record is from RNAcentral. Lineage: Bacteria; Pseudomonadati; Pseudomonadota; Alphaproteobacteria.